RNAcentral lists this ribosomal RNA (384 nucleotides) under Triticum aestivum (bread wheat). RNAcentral describes it as "partial small subunit ribosomal RNA". Lineage: Eukaryota; Viridiplantae; Streptophyta; Magnoliopsida; Poales; Poaceae. The record is from RNAcentral.
AUGACUAAGGAUAAUCUGCUUAAAAGACAUAUAGAUAGAGGUAAAGAAUGUCUUUUCUGCUCCUGUGAUGAAAGCAUCACUCAUAUUUUCUUUGAUUGUGUGGUGCCCACUGCUAUCUGGAACAUCAUGCACAGUUUCUUUAAGAAACCAGACACCCUCUCUUAUGAAUCAGUAGCGAAACUAUGGGUUUCUAACAAGAAACAUCUAGUUUUGAACAUGGUUAAUGCUGCGGUUCUCUGAUGCAUCUGGAAAUUUAGAAACAACAUGAUUUUUGACUAUCUUCCUUGGAUUGAUUUCAAACAGAUAGGGUGGAGCAUCCUGCAGGCGCUAAGAUCAUGGAUGAUACUUCUGCCCAGCAACAAAGAGAGCUGGGAGCCUUUUUGA